AGGCGGGAAGAAGUAUUUUUCCUGCACGUCCAUUUUGUCAUGAGGUUCAGGGCGAAGUUGGUCGACAUCGGCUCAAUACAGCACUUUACUCGUAUAAUAGCAACUAUCACACGGCUCUGCAAAACUUGUGUAUUACGGAUAACACUUGAGAAAUUUUAUUUCAUUAUCUUGGAGAAGGCUUUACAUGGUGGUGCCAAAGUAUGGUGUGAACUGUUUCAAGACCAUUUCUUUGAUGAAUAUAUGUUGGAUGGACUCUCUAAAGAUAAUGAUGAGAUAUUCUUAGAAAUAAAUCCUGAUAAUCUUCUAAAAGCACUCAAAACUGGUCAAACUGCCAAAUGGAUCAAAAUAAAAUUGACCAAAAAACAAGUUCCUUCUUUAACACUUGAAGUUGAUUUGCCUACAGUUACUGGCCUGAGUCGCACUGUAGUCCAUGAUAUACCAGUCUCGGUGUUAGCAUUACGUCAUUGGGCAGACUAUGAUGAACCAGAUGUACCUGACUUCGAUGUGAGUAUAAAUAUGCCUGCAUUGAAGCUUCUUCGCAAUGUUGUUGAUAAAAUGAAGAGUAUUAGUAAUUUUGUGAUAGUUUCUGCAAACUGUGAUGGUAAAAUGAAGUUAAUGGUGGAAACAGAUGUAGCAUCUGUUUGUACUUAUUUCAGGGAUUUGACAAACCCUAAAUGGAAGGACAAAAACAGCGACCUGAUCCAGUCCUCUUCUAAAGAUCCUUCUGAGUUCUCUGAAGUGAGAGUAGACCUCAGGAAAUUUGCUCAAUUUCUUAAUGGUCUACAAUUAAAUCCGUCACGUGUUAUAUGUAAUUUCAGUGAAGACCAAAUGAUACACAUUUUACUUCUUCAUGAUGAUGUAACUCUCCAGUAUUUUAUGCCUGCUGUAUCGGUCUAACUUUUGACUUUUAUGGAAACUUACUUUAUGGCUAAUGUGAACAGAGAAAGAUUAACAAAGUAGAUGUAUUUUGAUUCAUCCAUUCAAACAACGGCUCAGUAAAC
Molecule: unclassified non-coding RNA, 1001 nt
Filed under: Octopus sinensis (East Asian common octopus)
Lineage: Eukaryota; Metazoa; Mollusca; Cephalopoda; Octopoda; Octopodidae
Description: checkpoint protein HUS1-like, transcript variant X1
Source: RNAcentral